AGUGAACGCUGGCGGUAGGCCUAACACAUGCAAGUCGAACGGCAGCACAGUAAGAGCUUGCUCUUACGGGUGGCGAGUGGCGGACGGGUGAGGAAUACAUCGGAAUCUACUUUUUCGUGGGGGAUAACGUAGGGGAACUUACGCUAAUACAGCAUACGACCUACGGGUGAAAGCAGGGGAUCUUCGCACCUUGCGCGAUUGAAUGAGCCGAUGUCGGAUUAGCUAGUUGGCGGGGUAAAGGCCCACCAAGGCGACGAUCCGUAGCUGGACUGAGAGGAUGGUCAGCCACACUGGAACUGAGACACGGUCCAGACUCCUAGGGGAGGCAGCAGUGGGGAAUAUUGGACAAGGGGCGCAAGCCUGAUCCAGCCAUACCGCGUGGGUGAAGAAGGCCUUCGGGUUGGAAAGCCCUUUUGUUGGGAAAGAAAAGCAGCAGGUUAAUACCCCGCUGUUCUGACGGGACCCAAAGAAUAAGCACCGGCUAACUUCGUG
RNAcentral lists this ribosomal RNA (492 nucleotides) under uncultured bacterium. RNAcentral's name for it is "partial 16S ribosomal RNA". It matches the Rfam family "Bacterial small subunit ribosomal RNA", at positions 29 to 507 of the family's 1533-position model. The record is from RNAcentral.